GUGAGAAUAUUCAAAAUUCUCUCUUCUAGCUAUUUUGAAUGACACAAUAUAUUAUUGUUAACUCUAGUUACCCUACUGUGCAACAGAACACCAGAACAUCAUUUGCAGCAAAGGUAAACCUAGAGAGCAUUAUGUUAAAUGAAAUAAACCAAACACAGACGGACAAAUACCUCAAGAUCUCACUCAUAUAUGGAAUCUAAAAAGGUCGAUCUUAGAAUUACAGAGUAGUGUAAUGAUUACCAGAGUCUGGCGAGGCUAGACGUGGUGGCGAUGGGGAAAGGUUGGUCAGUAGGUUCCUCUUCUUUUGUUUAAUGUGAAAUUGGUGCUGUUAAGUUUGGCUUUGAUAUGCCCAGAAACAGUAAAGGAAAGAGGAAAGAGCAUAGUUGUUGGGGGCAGAUGGAUGAGGAGAAACCCAGAGGGCAUAUAGCUCACGGGUAAAAUACUGCAGACAUGUCCCUUAACCGCUUUGAGUCUCCAUUCCUUUAUUUAUAAAAUGGGCAUGAUCAAGUCAACUUUAUGUUUCUGUGAGUUUUACAGUUCUUGCUUUAGAGAAACUUGCCUACUUUCAGGCAUGUUUUCCCAAAAGCAACAUGGUAUCAAAAAACAAAAAGGACUUCCUUCAUCAAAAGAGAUAAUUUAUUUUAAAGACAUUAUUUUCACUUGAACCUAAGUAAACCUGAUGUCAAUAUGAGGCUUUUUCCAUACGUAACCUAUCAAAAGCUAUUGGAAAGGUUGCAAGAGCCAUCUCUCUGUCUCCUCUCUCUCUCUCUCUCUCCCUCAUUUGCUGUCAUGAUUCCUGGACUAGCCCGUCUCUCGACAUUAUAUAGCCUUAGACAACACAGGAUAGAUAGUAGCAUGAAGUGUGCAGAAGUAAGUCCACCAGUAGGAUUGCUAGGGCUAGCCACCCUGUUUUCUCCUUGAACUUGACCACAACAUGUUUUACCUUGUAUCUUGCUCCAAUCACAGCUGUUUCCGUAGAAAAAUCAUUUCUUGUGAUGGACUUUUGUCUCACUGGAGUAACACUCUUUCGUGAGGAUAGCAAAAGUUGUAGGGACAGCCUAAGAUUUUUUUUUUUAAGUGGUUUUGGUUUUGUGUUUAUGGAAUGUUUGUUAGUACAGCAGGAGUGAGACUGGAUAGAGUUGAAGGUGCUGAAAGUGUCAGAUGGCAGAGCUUCGUGGGGGCCCAUGUGAAUGCUUAGAGUUUUGGUAGCCAAAACUCAAGUAAUAUAGGUUAAAACAGGCCAGUUGGCUCAUCCCAAGAAGUGAUGGAAGACUUCUGGCUCUAUCUUUCCAGGAGGCAAGAAGAACAUCAGCUGGCAGCAAACAGCACCGUUCUGUUACCACCCAUCUUUUGCUGUUGUUGGUUUCUCUCAUCUCAAAAGAGAGUCUUAUUAUGUGUCUCGUUUAAAAUAUUCUUUGUGGAUUUCCAACAAAAUCCUCUUAAGUUCUUGAAUCCAAGAGCAGAACAGAAGAGGUGGUUUGCUUCCUAGACUUCCUGAAACAUCAGCUACUUUGAUAAAUAUUUAUUGAGCACUUAUUCUGAGUGACACAUUAAACAGCUAGAUGUUACAGAGGAUGCAUCAAUGAGGGAGAUACAACUCCAUUUCUCAGGGAAAGGGAACAUUUCCGGGAAGUGAGUAGAAAUAAUCAAUGAAGCAUAUACAAAAAUAACUGGAACCAAGGCAGAGUGAGACAGGUGCCAUAGAGGUCCACCCAGUGGUGACAUCAUAUUGGGUUGGAACUUACCAAGCAACAGCUCAUAGGGAAGUCUGCAUUUGAUAGGAAAUAAAGAUAAAUGGGUAAGGUUUUACCUGACUGGGAACAUAAAAUUAUGCAGAUAAGACAAAGCAUGGCUUAAAUUUUGGCUCUAAAGCCCAUCCUUAUCAAGCUAGUUCUCCUGCGACCUAGACCUAGGUUUCAGAACUGGGGCAAUGAUACCACGGGAAGGCAGGUGUGAUGUUGUCUUCUCCCAAGGACCUUCUCCAACCACACUACUCGAAGUGUGUCCAGAAUUGGUGGGCUCUUGGUCUCGCUGACUUCAAGAAUGAAGCCGUGGACCCUCGCGAUUAAACAAGUGCAACUUUCCCAAUCUCACACAACUACUUGUGGAGCCAGGAUUCCAUACAGGCAAUCUUCCACUGAGGAAGAAGAAGAGAGAAGAUUGAAGAGGUGGACCGGCUGCACAUUUCAUCAUGAAGAUUUAUCCGGAGAUCCAAGAGACUGACUCAGGCUAUGAAUCAGCUACGUAAGUUCCAUGAAAGGGCUAUGUCUUCUAAGAAAAAGGAUCACGCUGACCUCCACUUUCAACAAGUUGCCUCUAAGCAUGAAGUGACCCUAAGAGAUAGGAAGAUAAGGAGGUAAUGGGUCUGGUUGAGACCAAGCAUCCAAACUAAGAAAUAAAGUUUGCGUAUGGUAACAACAAUAAUAAUAUUACAAAUGGGACAUAAGACAUAUCUAUAAAGGGAACUAAGGUUUCACUAAUAACACUGCAUCUAAUAUUUCUGUGAAUCCCAAGUGAUUACUCGCAUACUAAAAAGCAACCACCUAACCCUCUUUGUCUGUUUUGUAGUAUAAGAAGGGAUAAAGAGAGAAAUUUGUCCCUGGCAUUACAUUUUCUUAUGCAAACUAAUUUAAAUCACACAUCUCAAUGUUGAAAGCUUGUCUGACAAGCAUUUCCAAAGCACAAAACAAAUCUCAUAACAGGUUAACUUGCACUGGGCUGAUGUUGGCAAAGGACUUUUAGUACUUCUGAGAAGGCUGAAAAAUAAUUUUUCUGCUAGGAAAAAAAAUGUACCCAAAUAUAAUGGUGUAUUAAGGGAUUAGUGCUAGAUUAAAGUAUUCUUUCUUCUCACAACCAGGGACAAUCUUUUGAUCUAAUCUAAGAGGUAAUCUAAUUUUAAUGCAAGUGGAAGAACUGAAAAGCUGCACAGAGUAUAAAAAGAAGGACUAAGGUAGUAGAGAAAGAGGAUCUUCCCUUUGCCAGGUAGGGGAUCCAUCUGAUAAGCUGGUAUAUGCCUUAGACUUACUGCUGUAUGUGUCCUAAUAGUUACGACUCCAUAAGUCACUAAGUAAAGAUACACAUUUAAAACUUGGGGAUUGACACAGCGGGAGCAUGGCUAUCUUGGACAAGCACCACCAUUCUAAAGUUCCCCUUGAUCAAAAACUGCCUAAAUCCAAAGGGCAUCAGCUUAAUGGCUAACGUCAGCAUGACCAUAAACCACAAAUAACAUCCCAGUCCAGAAACAUUCCAACCAUAAGAUAAACCCCUCCCCGACCAGAGACAGGUCAGCCCCAGGAUAACUUCCCUUCCAAACAGAGACAUUCCAACCCCACCAUAAAUUUCUCCCCCACACAGAAACAUUCCAAGCCUGUGAUAAAGCUCUCUCGCCCUAAAACCAAUAAAUACUCUUAGUCUGUAAGAGAGAGUGCUCCUGUCCAAAAAUUGGCCAGAAGCCCCUCUCAGGUUUAUUCUGCAAAAUUAACCUGUCUUUGACUGUUGAGCCGCUUUUCGUGUUUCUUUCCUGUUUCUUUAACUCUUACAGGGAUCUCUUGGUUCAGAACACAUUUGAGGGCCUGUUAUAUACUAGGCAUUAUCAUAUUUCUUGAUUCUUUUAAAUUUCAUUGAUUUUAAUAUCUAAAACUUCCCUAUUAGGUACCUUUUUCAGAUGAAGCAAACUAAAAUUUAGAAAAGUUAAGCAAUUUCCCCAAGGUCAUGUUAGUAUAUAUCUGGGAGAAUAACAAUUUGAAUUCACAUCUUUCCGACUAAGCCAGGCUGAACCCUUAAUGACCUUUCUCAACUAUCAGCUCACCUCUCCCCAUAAUGCAUAUUUUACAGCUCAAAAAGGAGAGGAAGGAAAAACCUUUAAACCCAUUGCUAGAAAGGGUGUAUUACGUACAAGGCAGAAUGGCAAGCACAGGAGAAAUCAUUAAAGAAUGUCAUAAAAGACCAAAAAAAAAAAAAACCCAUCCCAAGAUUUGUCCUCUUAUAUAUUGGGAAAGAGACCCGUUCCCCCACGGCAUGAACCAUCAGGAAAACCGGCUGUCUUUAGAUUUUCAUAAAUAAAUCCUCAGCCUUGGAUUGACAUUUUCUUUAUGAAGCCAUAGAGAAAUAAUUGCUACAUAUUUCAGAAUGUACUAGCUCAGCACUGUCCAAGAGAAACAUAAUGUGAACCACAUAUGCAAUUACGAAUUUCCAAGGAUUCACAUUUAAAAACUGUACAAAGAAAUGUUAAAUUAAUUGUAAUAAUGUAUUUUGUGUAGCCCAAUAUAAUCAAAAUAUUAUUUCAACAUCUAAUGUAUAUAAAAAUUGUUGGAGAUAAUUUAUAUCGUGAUAUGAAGUUUUUACAAUCUAGUAUAUUUUUAUACUUAACAGCACACUGAAACUCAAUGCUAAAUUUUCAGUGCUUUAGGUGAAAUAUAGUUUUAUUAGAACAAAAAUUGUGUUUGAUGAAAACUAUUUUACACUGCUUGAGUUUUUAAAUUUAAAUGGAAAUUAUACUGAAAUAAGAAUUAAAAUUAUCUGCUUAUUCAUACUAGCCAUAUUUUAAUUAUGUAAUAGCUAGUGACUACUAUAUUGAACAGCAGAGUUCUAGACAAAAAGAAAAUAUAAGAUUUUCUCAUGCUACAUCUAAGACAUUCAUAGUAAGCAACUAUGAAAAUGAAAGCUAACUCCAGUGUACUCAAGGCAGAGAAAAUGGAAGACAUUUACCAUAAAUCUUUCAUAUGCCCUUUUAUCUUUUGAUGAUUGUCCACAAUAUGAACAGGACAGGGCAAGUGCUGCAGGUAGGUUGUCUGUUCUUCCAAUACCAUUCUCAUAGAACUGACUGGCUAGAGAAAGGGUGACACUGGCUAAUGUGUCCCGACUCAU
RNAcentral lists this long non-coding RNA (4866 nucleotides) under Homo sapiens (human). RNAcentral's name for it is "HSALNT0378157". Lineage: Eukaryota; Metazoa; Chordata; Mammalia; Primates; Hominidae. The record is from RNAcentral.